RNAcentral lists this transfer RNA (64 nucleotides) under Viannamyia furcata. Its description in RNAcentral is "tRNA-Pro". Lineage: Eukaryota; Metazoa; Arthropoda; Insecta; Diptera; Psychodidae. The record is from RNAcentral.
CAGAAAAUAGUUUAAAAAAAAUAUUAAUUUUGGAGAUUAAAAAUAAGAGGUUUCUUUUUUCUGA